Salarias fasciatus (jewelled blenny) is the source of this 400-nucleotide long non-coding RNA. RefSeq lists it as uncharacterized. Lineage: Eukaryota; Metazoa; Chordata; Actinopteri; Blenniiformes; Blenniidae. The transcript has 3 exons. The record is from RefSeq and is a predicted model, not a curated record.
CAGCUCAAAAAUCUUCAGAGAGUUGGAGUCAACAAUGUGAAAUCCCUCUGCUUCAGUCGCAAAUUACAUCCUGCUAACAGGCUAAUAUGGACACGUGAGAGCAAAGGAAAGAAACCUGGCGUCACGCUGGCGCUGAAAUCGUGUAAAAACAGCUUCAAAAAGAAGUUCUGACUUCAUCACGGGAGCAAAUCGGACAUCUGCUUUCAACUACGACAUCUGGAAACACUCACACACACACACACACUCACACACACUCACUCACACACACACACUUUGUAAUGUAAGCUGAUGUUUUAACACCUCAUACAUUUGUGCCUCUAAACUCCGCCUCCCCCUAGUUCUGCACAUAAGAGUGAAAUUACACUAAAAUGGCAUUCAGCAUGACACACACACACACACA